RNAcentral lists this ribosomal RNA (947 nucleotides) under uncultured bacterium. RNAcentral's name for it is "bacterial SSU rRNA". It matches the Rfam family "Bacterial small subunit ribosomal RNA", at positions 523 to 1482 of the family's 1533-position model. The record is from RNAcentral.
AUACGGAAGGUCCGGGCGUUAUCCGGAUUUAUUGGGUUUAAAGGGAGCGUAGGCCGGAGAUUAAGCGUGUUGUGAAAUGUAGAUGCUCAACAUCUGAACUGCAGCGCGAACUGGUUUCCUUGAGUACGCACAAAGUGGGCGGAAUUCGUGGUGUAGCGGUGAAAUGCUUAGAUAUCACGAAGAACUCCGAUUGCGAAGGCAGCUCACUGGAGCGCAACUGACGCUGAAGCUCGAAAGUGCGGGUAUCGAACAGGAUUAGAUACCCUGGUAGUCCGCACGGUAAACGAUGGAUGCCCGCUGUUGGUCUGAAUAGGUCAGCGGCCAAGCGAAAGCAUUAAGCAUCCCACCUGGGGAGUACGCCGGCAACGGUGAAACUCAAAGGAAUUGACGGGGGCCCGCACAAGCGGAGGAACAUGUGGUUUAAUUCGAUGAUACGCGAGGAACCUUACCCGGGCUUGAAUUGCAGAGGAAGGAUUUGGAGACAAUGACGCCCUUCGGGGCCUCUGUGAAGGUGCUGCAUGGUUGUCGUCAGCUCGUGCCGUGAGGUGUCGGCUUAAGUGCCAUAACGAGCGCAACCCCUCUCCUUAGUUGCCAUCAGGUUAAGCUGGGCACUCUGGGGACACUGCCACCGUAAGGUGUGAGGAAGGUGGGGAUGACGUCAAAUCAGCACGGCCCUUACGUUCGGGGCUACACACGUGUUACAAUGGCAGGUACAGAGAGACGGUCCCUUGCAAAAUGGAUCAAAUCCUUAAAGCCUGUCUCAGUUCGGACUGGGGUCUGCAACCCGACCCCACGAAGCUGGAUUCGCUAGUAAUCGCGCAUCAGCCAUGGCGCGGUGAAUACGUUCCCGGGCCUUGUACACACCGCCCGUCGAGCCAUGAAAGCCGGGGGCGCCUAAAGUCCGUGACCGUAAGGAGCGGCCUAGGGCGAAACUGGUAAUAGGGGCU